GGGGCUGUGGCUCAGUGGUAGAGCAAUUCCCUAGCACAUGUGAGGAGCUGGGUUCAAUCCUCAGCACCA
This 69-nucleotide transfer RNA is filed under the name Marmota monax (woodchuck). Its description in RNAcentral is "tRNA.Ala". The record is from RNAcentral. Lineage: Eukaryota; Metazoa; Chordata; Mammalia; Rodentia; Sciuridae.